UGAAACUGCGAAUGGCUCAUUAAAUCAGUUAUGGUUCCUUAGAUCGUUCAUAUUACAUGGAUAACUGUGGUAAUUCUAGAGCUAAUACAUGCAAAAAGCUCCGACCGUAUGGGAAGAGCGCUUUUAUUAGACCAAAACCAAUGGGGUCGCAAGAUCCCUUUAUUUGGUGACUCUGGAUAACUUUGUGCUGAUCGCAUGGCCUCGAGCCGGCGACGUAUCUUUCAAGUGUCUGCCCUAUCAACUUUCGAUGGUAAGCGAUUUGCCUACCAUGGUUGUAACGGGUAACGGGGAAUCAGGGUUCGAUUCCGGAGAGGGAGCAUGAGAAAUGGCUACCACAUCUACGGAAGGCAGCAGGCGCGCAAAUUACCCACUCCUAGAACGGGGAGGUAGUGACGAAAAAUAACAAUACCGGACUCAAUGAGGCUCGGUAAUUGAAAUGAGUACAGUUUAAAACCCUUAACGAGGAUCUAUUGGAGGGCAAGUCUGGUGCCAGCAGCCGCGGUAAUUCCAGCUCCAAUAGCGUAUAUUAAAGUUGUUGCAGUUAAAAAGCUCGUAGUUGGAUCUCGGGUACUAGCAUGUGGUACGCUUAACUGCUGUUACUACAUGUCUGGUCCUAAUCAAUCGGUUGGCCGUUGAUGCCCUUUAUUGGGUGUUUUCGGUAGCCGGUACGUUUGCUUUUGAGNAAAUUAGAGUGCUUAAAGCAGGCAAUACGCCUGAAUAAUGNNGNNNNGAAUAAUNGAAAUNGGACCUCGGUUCUAUUUUUGUGGUUUUG
Molecule: ribosomal RNA, 772 nt
Filed under: uncultured eukaryote
Lineage: Eukaryota
Description: SSU rRNA
Rfam family: Eukaryotic small subunit ribosomal RNA
Source: RNAcentral